Homo sapiens (human) is the source of this 1235-nucleotide long non-coding RNA. RefSeq annotates it as long independently transcribed non-coding RNA 3046. Lineage: Eukaryota; Metazoa; Chordata; Mammalia; Primates; Hominidae. The record is from RefSeq and is marked validated. The transcript is spliced from 4 exons.
GACGGAGUCUCGCUCUGUCGCCCAGACUGGAGUGCAGUGGCGCAAUCUCGGCUCACUGCAAGCUCUGUCUUCCGGGUUCAUGCCAUUCUCCUGCCUCAGCCUCCUGAGUAGCUGGGACUACAGGCGCCCGCCAUUACGCCCGGCUAAUUUUAUUUUAUUUUAUUUUUAGUAGAGACAGGGUUUCACUGUGUUAGCCAGGAUGGUCUGUGUCUCCUGACCUCGUGAUCCACCCGCCUCGGCCUCCCAAAGUGCUGGGAUUACAAAAUGCGUGAGCCACCACGCCCGGCUGAUGGUUUUAUUAAUAUAAGGGACUUUAACCCUUUGCUCAGGACUUCUACUUGCUGCUGCCAUGUGAAGAAGGACAUAUUUGCUUCCCCUUUCACCAUGAUUGUAAGUUUCCUGAGGCCUCCCCAGCCCUGCAGAACUAAAAGCAAUUUUGUUAAUCACUUUAGCACCAAUUCUUGCAUCCCUGGCAAUACUCAGAACUGCUUCCAUCCAAGUCUUUGAUGUGGGAAAGAAACACACACACACUCUUUCGCAUGUAAUCUGAAAACAAUUCACCUCUUGCCAAUGAAUGCACAGCACUCCACUUUAAUAGAGAGCAAGUUCUGUGGAGGUUUCUAAUCCUUUCUGCCAAAGAAGAGAAGAGAGAGAAUCACUCAGCUUCUAUUGCAGAUGUGAAGUUUAGCAUUUCUUUGCUCACUCUUUUACUGGGAAACUCUUCUAGCGGAAAGCCUGUCAUCUGUUGUGAAGGAGAGCUGGUGUUGACUUGAAGCAACAGAGUUGGUGGUCCAGUGGCCAUUGUCCUGUGUUAGGAGCAGGUGGUCUCGCUAAGCUCCAUGUGUUUGGAAAUUUCUCUGACCAGUGCUUGUUCUGCUAAAGGAAGAAGAGCUCAAGCUGCACUCCUUGUUUCCAGGAUCCCAUCCAGAAUACAUUACCUUUAGUCAUCAUGUCUCCUGUGGCUCUUCUUGGCUGUGACAGUUUCUCAGCUUUCCCAGUUUUAAUGAACUUGCCAUUUUCAUCAGAUUGUACCAAGACCUACUAUCAAUAUGACUUAUGACUAGUGGUGCUGACCUUGAUCACCUGGCUGAGGUAGUUCUUGUCAGGCUUCUCCACUGUCGAGUUGCUCUCCCCAUCCCCCUUUUCCAUAUUGUACUCUUUGAAAGAAAGUCACUAUAUGCAGCCCUUCCUUAAAAAUAUUAAAAUGAACUAGCUUAAUUAAGUUCUUUCUUACA